Lepus europaeus (European hare) is the source of this 11321-nucleotide long non-coding RNA. RefSeq lists it as uncharacterized. Lineage: Eukaryota; Metazoa; Chordata; Mammalia; Lagomorpha; Leporidae. The record is from RefSeq and is a predicted model, not a curated record. The transcript is spliced from 6 exons.
AGCCUCGCCCCGCGUACCGCCCACGGCUCCUUCGCCCAAGCCUCUGCGCAGCCGAGGUAGCAAAUGAUGGCUCAAGUCUUGGAUGGCUGCCACCUAUGUGGGAGACAUGGAGAAGUCCCUGACUCCUGGCUUUGACCUCACCCUCAGCUGUUGUGAUUUUGAGGAAUGAAUCAGUCUCAAAAUGAUGGCACAACUCCAUUGGCAUCGUGACGCUACCACAGAAUGUUCUGUCACCCAAGACACCAUCAGUGUGACUGUUUGAGGCCCCUCCAAGUGGUUGCUGGUAUCAACGUCACUUCUUAUUGCCAGUGGGUUUCCCAGAGUGUGGAUUUGCUGCCAUUUGUCUAUCCGGAUGCUCCUCAGUUGAUGGGAAUUUGGUCAUUUCCUCUUGCUGGCUGCCCUGAAUCCUGAGAGGGACAUCUGUGUCCCGGUUUGUGUGAAAGUGCGGGUUCUCAUCUCACACAGGCCAUGGGCCCAGGAGGAUGGAGACCCAGGCCUGCUCCAAUCGUUGCUGGGCCCUGGUGUUUGGAUCCGGCUGGCAGCAGCAGGGCCUCCGUGAGCGAAGGCCGCAGACCACAAAGACCACAUCUCAGGUGGAGCAGUCUUCUCUGGAUCUGUUGGCUUCCGUGAAUUCUCCAUGAAGACACAAAGCCUGACACCAGCUCUGAGGGGCAAGGCAGUGUGGAGGCUCCCACCGGUGAGAGAUGGGGGCGGGGGGAGAUGACCCGUGCACCUGUGUUCCGGCGCCCCGACAAGAUGAAUGUUUAUGACACGCGCUAGAGCUCCUGCUCCCUGCACGCGACCUGCUGGCUCCACAGGAUGGGAGCAUCAGCGAAGCAGCUGGGCGCCCAGCCCCCCGCCCCGGCCCUGGAGUCCUCGCUAUCAGUGUCUUUGUCGUGGGUGCUUGGGUCCGGGCUCUUGUCUCUCAUGCAAGAAGGACUGCAAGGAUGGGGCACGGGUAAAGGUCAGCGGAGGAGGGAGAUUGGUUUACACGCCAGGUGCAGGAGCGCGGGCUGGCUCAGAGGAGAGCUGCAGGCGGCAGCAGGGCCGGGGCUGUCUGCUCUGGAGGUGUGCGUGCGGGGCGUGGCUGGAGAGGGCUCCGUAGCAGGCUGCCCACUCUAGAGGCUGGGCUGUUGGAGCCACUUGCGGAAGCUCCGCAGCCGCAGCCCUCUGCUCUCCCAGUCCAUCUCCUCGGGUGGAAUGGUCGCCGUGUUGGUGUCCCCUGCAGUGAACUACAGCCACCUCCAGAGACGCCAAGACAGGGAGAGGGCCGGGGCCUCUCGGCCGUGUUUAACGGGGGAGUUUUUCACAGUUGUUGGGCCUCUUUGUCUCCAAAUCACUGUAUGUGCAGGUAGACCAGGGAUGCGUAGUCGGCAUCGGUGUGGACAUUGGGUCUCUGGCCUUUUGCUGGUUUGAAGGCUGCAGGCAAGGUGGAAAGUUUGGCCUUUUGAGCCGAGAUGUUGAGCGUAAGCUUCCGUAACUUGAGUAAGGUCUUCUGUGGCAAAUCCUGCCUCUCUAACCCCUUCCUUCGUGCAACUCCUGCCAUCAGCGAGCCAUUCAACAUCCGGGCUUUCCAGAGGUGCAUCUGGUAGGUCCGAUCUAGGGGUGGAGUCUUGCUGUAUGGUCUCUAUGCAAGAGUGAGCUCGUCUCAGAAUCUUCGGAAUCCAGGGGAGCAGCCUUGGCGUCCUUCGAGAGUGAACCCUGGUGAGCCAAAAUGGAGAGCCCGGUGUCAGUGAGAGUGAGCCCCCCCUUCCCCCCGUCAGCCACGGGCACCUGUGAUCUCUGGAACCCUCGUCCUUGGCUUGCAGUGUGAGCUUCAGGAGCCGCGGAGUCCGUGGUUUUCUCUACCGAAAGUGCAGUAGCAGCAACCAAGCAUCCAGACCAUCCUGAGUCUGGUUGAUUAGAAAGGUAGCCAAGGGGCCACAGAAUGGGCCCAGUUUCGGGUGAGUACCCCCCAGGUUAUUCCUUUCAGCUACCAAUGGGGAGAAUGACUUGUCUCAGGCAUCCCCAGUGCAGGGGCCAUUGUCAGCUGACCCUAAGCCUGUUGAAAGGCCCCGUGUUAGUUCCCUGUCUAUUCCAGUGGGUCAGUUUCAGCAGCCUUUAAACCUCAGCAGGGGUUUGGUUAUCAGCCUCAAUCCUGGCAUCCAGAUCCCGCAGCAGCCUGCCGUUCACAGGAAUGUUCUCGGCUGUCGCUUUGUAGGUGGUAGCCCAAUCCACAGUGUGGCUGCCCACGGGGAGAUCCGGAUUUUGGUUGGGGAAACUUGAUAUCGCCGUUCCCCUAAAAGCGUUAAGAUCUGAAUGGUGUUUUCAACUGAGUCCUCCUUGAGGUGACUGUAGGUGAGGCCAUGUCUAUCUAUUGUUAUCCUUCCUGCUAGGUGCUGUGUGGGUACUCAUUAGCAUGCUAAUAACAGAUUUCAGUGUAAGGAUGGCUGCCCUGAGAAAGCGCCCCUAGAGGGUCGCAGACCUGCUAGCGCCCGCAGAGGCUGGUGGGAGAUGACGGCGUCUUCUGUCCGGCAAGGCAGAGGCCAGGUGACCCGCUGGGAGAGGGGCUUGCCAUCAGCCCCCAUGAUGACACGACUCUGAGGACAGGGGCCCCAGCAGAGGAACUGGCACCCGCGUCAGUUAGAAAAUCGAUUUUCUUACCUGCCACAUCCGGGAGUGGGGUGGUCCCGAGGGCUGCGGGAGCUGCCUGAGUUCCCAGGCCCCAUCAGUCCUUGGAUUAGGACACGAGGCAACCGGGCCUCCUCCUGUCCCCCAGGAACUGCGUGUGAGCAGGUUUCCAGCGCCCUCCUUGUUUCCAGUGGGGCCAGGGGCCAGGUAGGCUUCUCAGGUGGGGACAGUCCUUGCACCAAUGUCCUGUCCUCCCACACCCAGAACAUUCUCCCUUGGGCUUCUCUGCCUGGUUCCAGUGGCUGCUGCCGUGUGGACAUUGGAGCCUUCUGCACAGCAGCUUUGCCUCUAGUCCUGGUCACCCCGCAUGCUGCAUCCAGCAGCUGUUCCUGGGGGUCUGGGACCCCACAGCCCGUCUCUGGAGUUCCCUCUGGAUAUCCCUGGCUGGCUGAGGUACGCAGUAGGACAUGUGCUAGGGGCUGUGUGAGUGUAUCUGUUGAAUCUCUUUAAGGCCUCUCCCAGCCAUCCCUGGCUGAAGGCGGAUUCUCGUCCCUAUGCUGUGUUACCUCCCUGACUUUGUCACCCAGGGAGCUCAGCAGCACAGCACAGCCGAGCGUCCCCUAGGGGCCGUGACCAUGCCACCUCUCAGACUCCCGAUACGACCUAGUCCACAGGACCUCCUUGUCCUGUCGUGCUGUGGGCCUCAGGGCAGGAUAAGCACGUGUUAGCAGGAGCAAGUGUCCCAUGGGCCCUUCUGAAGACAGUACCCAGGUCACGAGAGUGUUGGGAGGUCGCACACAGAGCCCGCAUCUCUGCCCUGUGUACGGCUCUGAGCCGUAUCCCUUGGGGACCACUGUGAAUCCUCUGUUGCUAUUGGCGGUUCCCGUGAUAAUUCUCUGAAGCCACUUUUCCAUUUAUUUUUUUGAAUGAAUUCCAAGUGCUCAUUGAGACCUGCUCAGACUGGAGUGAAACAGCCCCUGCUCUCUGCCCGGAGGAUGCAAAACCUCCGUGAUCUGUCUUUGUGGAUCCAUUUGACUGUAAGAUUCGGAAGAAGGGGCCAUUCACUAAGAGCCAUCGCCCCUCCCCCAGAGACCCAGAAGAGGAGAUAGAGCGAAGUGGGGGAGGCGUGGGCAGCCCAGGAAACACUGUCCCCUCCUGGCGGCUUCCCCAGCUGGAGGCAGAGAGGCCCUGUCCUCCCCAGGGGGCCUCCCGCCCUGCCCUCCUCUCAGCUUGCCCAGUGCCCUCAAAGGCCAGGGUGGAGCUGGUGCCUGUUCACCUGAACGCCUUGUAGAUGAGACCCAGCUGUUACACCCACUCUGCGGUCUGCUGCAUAAAGGCCUCUGGCUUUUGGGGCACACAGCAGCGUGGACUUCGUACCUGGCUCCCACCUGCAGCUGUUGGCGUCCACACCCAGCUGAGCCCCCAUACCAUGACGUCAGGGCCCGUGGCACUCGGGUCUCUUGUUCUCCAUUGGGAAUGUGCGGGGCAGUGGGUAUGGACUGUCUUAGCUGCUUUGAACUAUGCCUUAUUAGACACUAAAGUCUGCCUCCUGGGCGGGGGUAGGGGUGAGGGGGGUGGGUGGAUCUCAGAGCCUCUUCCCGCUGAGCACCUGAUACAUCGUGGACUUGACACGCCCCUCGCCCACCCUCUCUCUGAGAACCACCUUUCUUCUCUUUUUCUACAAGGUCGAUGCUGUUAGAUUCCCCAUAGACAGGCGAUCAAGGAGCACUUGUUCCUCUGUGUUGACGGAUGCACCUAUGUAUGACCCGUUCCACAGUGUGUACGCGUACCCAGACAUCCCCCUGGACCCCAUACAUGCACGCAGUUACGAUUUUUAUUCAUGAGGAAUAUUUGCAAAUGUGCAAAGAUAAUAAGCUCGGGGGUGGCGGCAGUAUACAGUUAAGAUUUUUAUUCAUAAGCAGCGUUUGCAAAUGUGAAAAGCAACUGAGGGAACGUGGCAUGACCACCCUUCCCCUUGGGGAUUUGCCCUCAGUUGUCCACUGACUCCACAUGAGCCACUCUUCCCCAGAAUCCAUGGCCUGGCUAUUCGGAUGGCAGGCAGCAAAGCCCUACAGGGACGGAGAAAGUGCCCCUAGGGACCUUGCUCCAGCCAUGACUCUUGCUGUAUUCCCCUGGGAACCCCUUCUGUCCAUGGUUCCUGCUAUGUCCCAUAGGGACCUUGCUCCAGCCAUGACUCUUGCUGUAUUCCCCUGGGAACCCCUUCUGUCCAUGGUUCUUGCUGUAUCCCUAUAGGGACCCCUCUGGCCAUGACUCUUGCUGUAUCCCAUAGGGACCCUGUUGCAGCCAUGGCUCUUGCUGUAUGCCCCUGAGAACCCCUUCUAGCCAUGGUUCCUGCUGUAUCCCUCUGGGGACUCUGUUCUGGCCAUGGCUCUUGCUGUAUUCCCCUGGGGACCCUGUUGCAGCCAUGGCUCUUCCUGUAUCCCCCUGGGAGCCCCUUCUAGCCAUGGUUCUUGCUGUUUCCCAUAGGGGCCCUCUUCUGGCCAAGGUUCUUGCUGUAUCCCAUUAGGGACCCCUCUGGCCAUGGUUCUUGCCGUAUCCCACAGGGACCCCUCUGGCCAUGGUUCUUGCUGUAUCCCAUAGGGGCCCUCUCCUGGCCAUGGUUCUUGCUGUGUCCCAUAGGGACCCCUCUGGCCAUGGUUCUUGCUGUGUCUCCAUAGGGAUCCCUCUGGCCAUGGUUCCUCUGUAUCUCAUAGGGACCCCCUCUGGCCAUGGUUCUUGCUGUGUCCCAUAGGGACCCUCUCCUGGCCAUGGUUCUUCUGUAUCCCAUAGGGGCCCUCUCCUGGCCAUGGUUCUUGCUGUGUCCCAUAGGGACCCCUCUGGCCAUGGUUCUUGCUGUGUCCCAUAGGGACCCCUCUGGCCAUGGUUCUUGCUGUGUCUCCAUAGGGAUCCCUCUGGCCAUGGUUCCUCUGUAUCUCAUAGGGACCCCCUCUGGCCAUGGUUCUUGCUGUGUCCCAUAGGGACCCUCUCCUGGCCAUGGUUCUUCUGUAUCCCAUAGGGGCCCUCUUCUGGCCAUGGUUCUUGCUGUGUCCCAUAGGGACCCCUCUGGCCAUGGUUCUUGCUGUGUCCCAUAGGGACCCCUCUGGCCAUGGUUCUUCUGUGUCCCAUAGGGACCCCUCUGGCCAUGGUUCUUGCUGUAUCCCAUAGGGACCCCCUCUGGCCAUGGUUCUUGCUAUGUCCCAUAGGGAUCCCUCUGGCCAUGGUUCUUCUGUAUCCCACAGGGGCCCUCUUCUGGCCAAGGUUCUUGCUGUAUCCCAUUAGGGACCCCCCUGCCACCCCGGCCUUUGCUGUAUCCUAGAGACCCCUUGGCGGCCCUGGCCCUUGCUGGAAGGAGCAGCCGAAGUCCUAGGGUCUGGCUGCCUGGCCUGGGUGUACUUGUGCGCAGGUGCUCUACAGGAGCCAUUGCUUCCCUCUGUGUCGUGAGCACUGCUCCUGGUGCGGAGGACUGAGGGGGUGGCUACAGGGCCUGGCUGGGGCUGACCAUGGAGGAGGGGUCCGUGUCUGCAGGCUGAGCAAGGUGGCUGUCAGGCACGGGGCGCCUCUGCCUGUGCUCUGCCCUGACUCCUGCUCCUCCCCAGGCAGCAGGACCUGGGAGGGAAACAUGGGCAGGUGGGAAGAUGUAGCGCCACUUGCACUUUUCAACUCAGGGGCAUGGAGGAGCUCCGUGGAGCUUUGGGGCCGCCAAGGAUGGGACUUGCCUGAAGCGUGGGCUUCGCCUGAUGCUGGGGCCCUUCUGUCGGGAUAUCUCACGACACAGCACGUGGUGUGUGCCCAUGGCACUGUCGUAUUUAUGCUUUGACAAGGACUCUUGUAUCUGCUCUGGGCUUAUAGCCUAGGCUGACUCUGACUUCCGUGAUUUGAGGGUCCUGGUGACAAGCCAGCGGCUCAGCACGGGGUCUUGGAGUUUCUUCCCAGACCACACCGUGCUAUCAUCGGCCCACAAUGCGGUCUAGUUCGGGCCUCUUUCCAGGACUGAAUGUCAGUAAGUCUUCCAGAGCUUUUCCAGCCCUAGGCUGACAGCACAGGGAAGCUGGUAUUUUCCUGUGAGUGUGCACUCCAACUGCUGCCCAGGGCCUCUCCAUCAAGUGGCAAGAUCCCUGUAAACACGGCAGCCAGAUUCACCCCCAUACUCCACAUGUCUGAAUCAGAGGGGUCGUAUGGUUGGCCCUAGAGCAUUUCUGGAGCACAAUACUGGGGAGUUCCACCGAUGUGCUGAGAUCUUGCCCGUCGGAGCCCCUGCAUCCCAGGCUAAAGUCAGUUUAACAGUGAGGGCAACAUCCAGGAGGACACUGCCCAGUUUCAGUUCCCUGUGCGCAUUACCCCUGUCCAUGGCGACAGUGUGUGGCCGGCACAGUCCUCCGGGACCAACUGAGGCCUGCACUGCCAGGUGGCUUGCUCGGCCACCCAGAGGACUGGCCGCUGUCUGCUGCCGAGUCCUGUGACCACAGUCUGUCUGCCCUCCCGAUUGCCUUGGAGAGCCGUAUCAUGUCGGGGUGAUUGAUGUAUGGCAUUCAGUCCUCUUCCAGGAAAGCACUGAGGGCUGCAGGUGUCCCUGUCCUGUUUCUGGGUGACCUUUACGGCCACCCGGGCCUGGUUAACAGAUGGCAGGCUAGCUUCACUUGGCCAGAGCUGCCCAGGCCAGUGGUCCUUGGGAGCCUGGGAUGACCAGCGAGGACUUCCUCAUAGGAGUAAAUGACCACAGGUCCCUCUGUUGGGUGACCUCCUCGCUACCGUAUCUUCACAUACUAACUAGUAAUGCUAACUGGUUGCAUGCUAGCUGUACUAACUGUACUAACUAGUGAGACAAGUAAACACCAACUAUAUUAGCUAGCUGAUGCUAAUUAACUUCAAUACCAUAUGAACUACUCACACAGUAGUAAUGGAUGAGAUUAAUGAUGCUAUCUGAAUUUUAAAAAAAUUAAAAAUGAGAAAAUAAUGCAAAGGUAAAAAUGGGGAAAGAAAAAAAUGAAGAAGAAAAUGAGAAAAAAAAUAGGAAAAAAAAUGAGGAAGACACAAAGAAUUUUAAAAUGGGAAAAGACGGGGCAGGCGUGUGGCACCGUGGGCUGAGCCACCACGAGGGAUGGCUGUGUCUUAUAUAGCAGUGCCUGGUUUAAGUCCUGGCCACUCUGUGCUUCCGAUUCCACUUCCUGAUACUGCAUUCUAGGAGGCAGAAGGUGAUGACCCAAGUACCGGGGUCCCUGUCACUCAUGUGGGAAUCCUGAUUGAAGGUCUGGGCUCCUGGUGCAGCCCUAGCUGCUUUGAGUAUUUGGGGAGUGAAACAGCAGAUGAAAGUGCUCUCUCUCUCUCUCUCUCUCUCUCUCUAACUCUUUCAAGUAAAUAAAUAAAUCUAUUUUAAAGAGAGAGAGAAAAAAAGAAAAAAAACAAUGGAAAACAGAAAUGAAGAAGUGGCAGAAAGGAAAAAACAAAUGAAAAAGUGAAAGGAGGAAAAAGGAAAACUAUAAAGACAAAAUGAAAGAAACAAAUAAUAAGGACACUGAGGAAAAAAAAAAAAAAAGAAUGAGAAAGAAAGGGGCCAGCACUGUGGCCCGGUGGGUUGAGCUAGGGCUUUCAUCCCCGGCAUCACAUACCAGAAUGCCAGUUCCAGCCCUAACUCUUGGCUUCUGCUCCAGCUUCCUGCUGAUAUUCCUGGGAAGGCAGUGGGUGAUGACCCAAAGUGCUUAGUCCCCUGCCGCCCAUGUGGAAGACCCAGAGGGAGUUCCUGGCUUUGGCCUGGCCCAGUUCUGUCUGUUGUGGCCAUUUGGGGAGCAAACCAAUGCCCAAUGAUAGAAGGGGUCUCUUUACCAUUAGAUUAAUUUUUCAAAACAGCUUUAAGGGAGUAGGUUAACUGUUUACUGUUGUUGCCAAAUGAGUAUCUUAAGUCCGUCGUAAAAGCUGUGUGUUUUAGACAAUUUGAACCUAAAUCUCCAGAUUGUAAAAUCUACUCCGAUAUAGAUGAUAGUGUAGUCGUAGGAAACAAUUCUGAUGACCUACCCAAAGCAAAGAGGGAAUGUUGUCAAUAUUUGAGGUAAUGUGGCUGGACAAUAAAUAAUGGCGUGGUUCGUGGUCCCACUGACCUGGUAAAAUUCUAGGAGUCCUGUGGACAGGUGGAGGGAGAGUGACCCCUGGUGCUGUUCCAGAACGAUGUAGAAUCAGCCACUGAGUGCUAACGACCAGCCCUGAAGUCUCACAGCGUUCUCUGGGGUUGGAGGGCAGCGCAGACCACAUUUAGGGGAUAACUCCCCCAACUCUCUAUAAGACAGGAAGGUCUCAGGAUUUCAAAUGGAAGGUAGAACAGCAGCAGCUCCCCAGUGUUUGAAAGCAAACAUACUGGCAGUCCAGAGGUUGUAUUUUUAAAGGAAGAUAUGAACUCUAGACCGGAUGUUAUUUAUGGGCAGGGAUAUGGCUUGUGGUCUCUUUGGGGGUAAGGACUCUUUUACACUAAAUUCAUUCCCAUGAGUGUCUGGACUAAGAGAUCUCCUUCCUCACAUCAUGUUCUCAAUAUGCUGAAAACUGAUUUGAACUGCUUAUCAGGGCUUGAUGCCUACCGAGCCUUUGGCUGAUUUGUCUAACUCUCCCAUGGCACUAAGGAUGAGAAGAGCUGCCCCACAGGGGUUAACCCGUCCCUGGACAAACAAAAGGGCACGAAAGCUGCACAGCGAAAUCUCACCUGGAAAGGGAAGACUCAGCAGAGACCGAGGCAGAGGGUCAGCCAGGACAAGGGCCUUGGGGAAUACCCUGAGAGUUCUCGUUGGCUUGCCGGAAAUUCCGAGGGUCGGACACAUCCAUGGUCAUGCUGUUGGCCAAGGGGUCCCACCUGGUCACGUGAACUAACGCAUGCCUGGUUUACCGACCGUUUGGCCCCCGUGACCUCUGGCCUGCUCUCUCGGACAGCAGCUGCUCUGUGUGCUCUGAACGGUUGCACCUUGGUGCAAAGAGAUGCGCCCCAGAGUGCCUAACUCAUUGAUUCAGUAUCCUCUGUGGGCUGUGAGGCGCUCUUUGCAAGAAGGCCAACAUCCAAGUCGUAUUUUUACUGACUUUGGUCACUUGCCACAGCAUAGCCCUGUCGUGCAAUAAAUGGCCACAAAAUAGUUGGAAGAUUAAUGGAAAGGAGUUAGGGUUCAGACACUUAUGGGAAUGGUAUUUGGUGCCUCCAUGCACAGAGGUGUUUGCACUGCCCAUGUCUCAGCUCACCAGGGAAAUAAUGGUGUGCUUGCUUCUGAUGGUGCAGCAGCUGCCCUUCGCAGGACAGUGACACAGAGACACGAGAAGCAGUGCCGUUCUGUAAUUAGCUCUCAGAAGGGACCUUUUAUUUGUGACCUACUCAGGUCGCAGGGAUACACUUCAUGUGGUUGAUUGACUUCCGCAGAGGGAGGGACUGAUCACUGUGCAGGAAACUAAGUGGACAACCAGUCCUUGUGAAACCUGCCUGAAGGUUAAACACCUUUAGAAACAAAAAGAGUUAACCGAGAAAGAUGGCUCUCGGGGCCUGAAUCGGAUCUUCCAGGUGGAUUCUGUAGGCCCUCACAUGUGUGAUAGUGACGCUGAGUGCUGCUGCUCUGUACCCACUGCCGUUCAGGUCUGGGCGUCCCAUUUCCAAGCAAGCAGGCUUAGGGAUCUAGCGCUGUCAGUUCCGUGAAGUCCUGCCCGGCUUCUGCUGGCACCCCUACCCUGCUGGAUCUGAUCAGAGCGCACACUUUGUGGUUAAAGAAGUCCCACAAGGGGCCGGAUCACAGCACGUAUCCCCUUAUACUCCAGCUGCCCCAGGAGCCAUUGAAAUUCUUAGUGGGUUGCUUAAAGGUCAGUUGAAGCUGUUGCAGACAGUAACCACAAACCAUGGCAGAAAGACCUAUGGAAAGCUACCUUAUCACUACAAAACGGUUUGUGUGUUUGGUCUUUUGUGACUUUUCUGUUAAGGAUGCUCUGAUGUAAGCCUUCCUCCUCAGUCAGAGAGUGGGUCCACUUCUCCUUUUGAACGUGAACUCCGUUGAUGUUUGCUCUUAGCUUGGUUGAGGAGAAAGGGCAGGGUGAUUUGGAAAUUGCGGUUCAAGGGGUAGAUUGCGGCGGUGUGUGUGUUGCUGCAUUAUGAGCCGUGUGAAACUGGGUUGGUGUUCUGAUUGUGAUUGAUAGGACUGUGCACUGACGGCACUCCCUCCAUGCUGAGCUCUUCCUUGCAACACAAGCCGCCACUGAGCCCGGUGCUGGCUGAGAGCCAGGAGGCCCACUGCUCCGCCCGGGGGGCCCAGAGCCACAUGGGAACUGCUGGCUCCUAUCAAGGAGACCUGUGAGCGCCCGCUGACAGCCACGCUGACAGCUUGCGACAACAUGCAAAUGCUAACUUGGGUCUGAGCCUCCCGUGCAAGGCUGACAUCUAGAAGCUGAGAUGUCCUGCUCCUGAGAUGUCCCAGCAUUCCCUCGGAAAAGGCAUCCGCCGCUGGAGGCUCUGCUGAAGUUCAAGGCCUUUGUCUUCAUUGCCGACAGCCAGCAGCAUCCAGACCCACCCAACCACACCUUGAAGGGGAGUGUUUUCCUGGACCAUUUGGAAGAGGUCCUCGUGGACACCUGGUGUUUGGUUCACUACUGGCACUCUGCGCUCGAGUUUCUGUCUUGUAUCUGUUUUGCCCAUCUUUUCCUAUGUUCUUUUUGCUAGUUUUACUUAUUCUGCUUUAGUGUACAUUGUAAUAAACUGAUGGAUU